Molecule: microRNA precursor, 101 nt
Filed under: Marmota monax (woodchuck)
Lineage: Eukaryota; Metazoa; Chordata; Mammalia; Rodentia; Sciuridae
Source: RNAcentral
AAUGGAAUUUCUGGGUCAUAUGAGAAAUGUAAGUUUAUUUUUUAAGGAACUGCCAACCAGUUUCCAAAGUGACCAUAUCAUUUUGCAUUCCUGCCAGCAAU